RNAcentral lists this ribosomal RNA (120 nucleotides) under Candidatus Thorarchaeota archaeon. Lineage: Archaea; Promethearchaeati; Candidatus Thorarchaeota. The record is from RNAcentral.
GAUGGCGGCCACAGAUAGCUGGGUUCACCGGAUCCCGUUCCGAUCUCCGAAGUUAAGCCAACUAUCGUGAUAGGACAUGUGCGGUGCGCGAGCCCGUGACAGGCCUAUCAGCUGCCACAU